CGAUCCAAACCUAGUUUUACAAUUGGAAAUGACCCAGGAACGAUAUCGAACCCAGGACUACUGGAAUUUAAAUUGGGGGAUAUUCCAUGUCUACCGGGAUCAAUCGUUUCGGCAGUUGGACGAAGCUAUGGCGACCAAGACAUGGCCGAUUCCGACGCUCCAUGGCCGCUGCUACGCCACGACGCCCCCGCCAUUGCCUGGUAUCGAUCGUUUCUCCAAUCGAUCCAUUUCUCCCCGCCCUGAUCGAUUUUCUCUCUCGCUUUUCGCGCGCAAAGCUCUUUGGCGGCGGAGAUCGAGAGCAACACAUGCCCCAUUUGCUUCGAGCUCAUGAAAUCGCCCACGUACUCGCCCAUCCUGCUCUACCCCUGCGGCCACACCUUCUGCGCAAAGGUUUGCACCAAUCGGAUCAUCAAUGGCGAUCUUCUCGUUCCUCGUCUUGGGCAGUGCCUUGAGAUCCACACGGUGACGAACCGCAAGAAGACGUGCCCGUAUUGCCGGCAGAGAAUCGUCUCGCAGGCGCUCAACCUGUCGCUGCAGAAGCUCAUCAAUAACUUCGUCGCGCUGCAGAAGAAUCCCGCCCCGGCCCACCAAAGUUUUGAUCACGGUGCUCAAUCGCAGUAUGGCGAGAAGCUGCGGCAAGCUGAGACUCGCAGCAGGAUCUUGCAGUGCGCUCUGGCCAACAGCGUCGAAGCCAAGGCCGUGAGACGAUGCUUGCUCCAGGGCCUCCGUGCUCUUUCUUUUUGACUCUUCUUUCGCUUUCUUCUCCAGAAGCUCGCCAGAGACAUUGCCGACGCGCAGAGAAAGGUGGUGCAGCUGGAAAGCCGAGAGCAAGAGACAAAAGUUCGUCUUGAGAAGGUACUUCGAAGGAAAAAAAAAAAAAAGAAAAAGAAGCGAAAGAUGAGAGUAGCGAAAAUACCUCCAGGUGAAUCUCGAGUAUCACCGGGUGCUGUCCGAGAUCCGAGAGAACCAAGACAAUCUAGCGACGCUCCAGAAAUACCAAGACGAGGAGACUGCCAAAGUGAAUCUCAUCCAGGAAACGCUCAAGAACCUCCGCAAGGUACCUGGAAAAAAAAAACGAGUGAGAAAACGAAGAUCUUUCCAUGAAGCAAUUACCAGUAUGAUAUCCCAACACUCUUUGCGUGUUUGACGAUUUCCAGGAAUGCGAAAAGCUUAAGCUGUUUAUAUCAGUGUGACCGGCACCGGCACCGCCAACGUAUCAAUAGAAAUGUCGUGAAGAGAAGAAAAGAAUUUUCAUUUUUUGCCCCCCAUGGCAGCUGCGAUGUACAGACCCUUGUCUAAAGUUUUUCUCGAUUCAAUGCAAGCCUUGCCUUUCGUGUUGCUAAUAAAACAAAGACCAAACGAAAUAAUCAAAACAGAGAAACUAAAUCCAUGCUUUCUUAGUACCUGCCAUUCAAACCGCGUGACUAGUGAUGUCUCCAAAAACAAAAGCCACAGUCCCAUCCCUUUACCUAUUAGGUGAAAAUUCUCUAUAACAGUCAAGAUAAUGUUAGAACGACAAACCACAGGAAAGGAUUCUUCUCUCAGUCUCUCGGUCCAGGAGUAUCUCCUCAUGGAAGACGCGGUAGCUCCACAAGCACAAGCUUCCCCGCCACUGCCACCACAGGUCUUGGUGUUAAUCAAGGAAGAGUCUCUUACUGCCUCACCUCACCACGAGAACGAGAGACGCCCGAAAGAGAGCGCCGAAAGUUCUUCCCCCGUUGUUGUAAUUAUCACUGUCCAAGAGCAGCAGCCGUCGUGUUCCUACGAUUCCUCCAAGCCCCAAGAGAUAGCCACAGCAGCAAGCUCGGCCCAGCAGCAGCAACAUCACGAACUGGUGUGUAGAGUCUG
Molecule: long non-coding RNA, 1848 nt
Filed under: Selaginella moellendorffii
Lineage: Eukaryota; Viridiplantae; Streptophyta; Lycopodiopsida; Selaginellales; Selaginellaceae
Description: long non-coding RNA (SMOE_LNC000146)
Source: RNAcentral